RNAcentral lists this transfer RNA (74 nucleotides) under Actinomycetota bacterium. RNAcentral describes it as "tRNA-Ala". It matches the Rfam family "tRNA". From Rfam's summary of the family: Transfer RNA (tRNA) molecules are approximately 80 nucleotides in length. Their secondary structure includes four short double-helical elements and three loops (D, anti-codon, and T loops). Further hydrogen bonds mediate the characteristic L-shaped molecular structure. tRNAs have two regions of fundamental functional importance: the anti-codon, which is responsible for specific mRNA codon recognition, and the 3' end, to which the tRNAs corresponding amino acid is attached (by aminoacyl-tRNA synthetases). tRNAs cope with the degeneracy of the genetic code in two manners: having more than one tRNA (with a specific anti-codon) for a particular amino acid; and 'wobble' base-pairing, i.e. permitting non-standard base-pairing at the 3rd anti-codon position. The record is from RNAcentral. Lineage: Bacteria; Bacillati; Actinomycetota.
GGGCCCUUAGCUCAGUUUGGCAGAGCGCCGCCUUUGCACGGCGGAGGUCGCCGGUUCGAUUCCGGCAGGGUCCA